UGGGGAAUAUUGCGCAAUGGGGGAAACCCUGACGCAGCGACGCCGCGUGCGGGAUGAAGGCCUUCGGGUUGUAAACCGCUUUUGAUUGGGAGCAAGCCUUUUGGGUGAGUGUACCUUUCGAAUAAGCGCCGGCUAACUACGUGCCAGCAGCCGCGGUAAUACGUAUGGGGCGAGCGUUGUCCGGAAUUAUUGGGCGUAAAGGGUACGUAGGCGGUCUAUUAAGUCAGGUGUGAAAGCGUGAGGCUUAACCUCAUUAAGCACUUGAAACUGAUAGGCUUGAGUGAAGGGGAGGAAAGUGGAAUUCCUAGUGUAGCGGUGAAAUGCGUAGAUAUUAGGAGGAAUACCGGUGGCGAAGGCGACUUUCUGGACUUUUACUGACGCUCAGGUACGAAAGCGUGGGGAGCAAACAGG
RNAcentral lists this ribosomal RNA (411 nucleotides) under Verrucomicrobiota bacterium. Its description in RNAcentral is "Verrucomicrobia bacterium partial 16S ribosomal RNA". It matches the Rfam family "Bacterial small subunit ribosomal RNA", at positions 355 to 776 of the family's 1533-position model. Lineage: Bacteria; Pseudomonadati; Verrucomicrobiota. The record is from RNAcentral.